Pseudophryne corroboree (corroboree frog) is the source of this 701-nucleotide long non-coding RNA. RefSeq lists it as uncharacterized. The transcript is spliced from 3 exons. NCBI's taxonomy places the organism in Eukaryota, Metazoa, Chordata, Amphibia, Anura, Myobatrachidae. The record is from RefSeq and is a predicted model, not a curated record.
CAGUGCGCAUGCUCUUGCCAGUUCAUGGGCGGGCCCCUCGUUAUAACUCAGGAAUAUUCAUAUCAACCCAGAACAAGAUGACUGACUCUGUGACUGGUCUCUGAGUAGAGGAAGCGUUGGCCUGAAUGAUCUGCGUGCCCUAACGCUACUCCGUACGCGGCUGUGAUCACUUCCCCAACGGUCGGGAAAUAUCGUUCCCAUACAGAUUCGGUGGAGUGUAAGAGUCUGGCGGUUGCAGAGCAGCUCCUCACGACCACUGAGGAAAGUACGUCUGGUCCGCUAGCCCAAAGGUGUCACAGUUGCAUGUGUUAUAUACAAGGUCGGCCCGUGUGACCCUCAGCGGCAGAUACCGGUGCAGGUCGGCCCGUGUGACCCUCAGCGGCAGAUACCGGUGCAGGUCGGCCCGUGUGACCCUCAGCGGCAGAUACCGGUGCAGGUCGGCCCGUGUGACCCUCAGCGGCAGAUACCGGUGCAGGUCGGCCCGUGUGACCCUCAGCGGCAGAUACCGGUGCAGGUCGGCCCGUGUGACCCUCAGCGGCAGAUACCGGUGCAGGUCGGCCCGUGUGACCCUCAGCAGCAGAUACCGGUGCAGGUCGGCCCGUGUGACCCUCAGCGGCAGAUACCGGUGCAGGUCGGAUUACGUUCUGUGAUAGAAUCCUAUAAAUGUGAACAUGCCGCUUCAGUGUUCCACCAUCACUAUU